UGGCGCUGAAUCGAAAGCCGCUCCAAGGGCCACUUCGGUAGAACACCGAUGAGCCAUUCCAUAUUUGCAUUUCGGGGAUGUUGCUUCUCGCCACGCCAUAAGCGAAGUGACCAGAAGAUGGGUCUUCCCAAUUGUUCCAAGAAGUGAGGUACCUGUUGAGACUCGUUGUUACUUCCCUCUUCUAACUUACAUGUGAAUUUAGUCACUCUUCUAACUUUCCGGUGCUCAAAAAAACUCGCUAUAUGUUAAUUUUAAACAUUAUAGAAAGAUUAAUUAAAUUCACAUAUUUUUGAAAGUUGGAGGACUAAUUCAUCAGUUUGAAAGCAUAAGAACACUAAAACUAACUUUAAACGAAAGUAUAAGGAAAAAAAAACACUUUUUUAUUAUUUAUAUAAAAUUCAACAGUGAGGUACCUGUUGAGACCCGUUGCUACUUCCCAUCCUAUCUUCAUUCCUGGUAAAAGUGUAUCCGUAGGAUAGUCAAAGCUCUGCCACAAAUAGUUUUGGGAGUUGUUGUCUUUCUCAUCUAUUAGGACCAAGUUGCCUGUGUCCAAAAGCUGCGCUACGGCGUUGAACGAUUUUUCUGUUGCAUUUGUUGUCCAGUGGACGGUGUCGUUCACGGUGAGAAGGACGAGGUUUCCAUCUUUGGUUAUGGUUAACUUGGUGUUGGUGUUGUUGGUGUUGCUUUUGAUUGGGUUGUCGCGGUUGGCAACCCAAACGAUGGUUUUUACUGGGAUGUUUUUGAACCAGAUUCCUAGGUAGCGGUUGGUGGAGCUACCUGGGCUGAAGAAACCCAACUCAAAGGUUCCUUCUUUGGAAACCAAGGUUGUUCCAUCAGAAAGUGGCUGAAACUGGGUGAGUGUGUCCGUUUCAGAGGAAAUUUUGGAUGAGAAGAGAAGAAGUAGGAUGGCUAUGAGAAGCAUUAAAGGUAGUUGAAUGGCCAUUUUGUGUUAAUUGCGUGCUGCGCAUGGAAUCGCAAUUGGAAAUGAAAUAUGCACUGAAUUGAAGAAAUGUUGGGUAAUAUUAAGAGGAAGGGUACAGCGCAGCCACAUUGGUCGGUUCACUGUGCACCAGUUGACUUUAAUAAAUAUUACAAUUUUAAAAAAUGGUCCUUAACUAUACAGUCUUAGCCGCCACAAUGUCAGAUUUUUUACACACCGUGAUUGCAAUUGUGCAAUGUCAAGGAUAUAUUACAAUGAAUUCGCAUCUACAAUCUAAUACCUUGGUGCAGCGGUCCUUGUGAUACUUUUGGCAUACUCUUACAUUUACAUGACAAAAAAUGUCAAAGAGUAAAAAUAAAUUUUGUUUAUUCUUUUCUUAAUUAGUCAGAGUUAUACUUACAACCUUCCUGUUUUUCUUCGUUUUUUUUUUUUCUCAAUAGCUUCAUGUUGUUAGUAGGCUAAAGAAAACUGAUGACCUAUAUGUUAAAAUUUCUCAGCUACAAAAGGUACAUGGCUAGAGUUACACAGAUGAGAUUUUAAUCAAAAGGCUUUUUAGGGAGCUAUGAAUAAGGACAAAACUGGCCACGAGAGUUUGGAAGUGUCUGGAAAGUAUGUAAUGGUGUGCAGAUAAUGAAGGGGCGUGGCAGAGUUUUUUUGACAUAGGUGUUCAUAUGAUAUGGACCUUGCGUGUAUUGUCGACACUAGAAAGUCUCUGGGUGUGACUGAACUUCAUUAAUCUUCCUGCAGGGUACAUCUUGUAAAACGUUUUUUUCUGGGGGUACAUCUUAUACCUUUCCUUGCUUAAA
Molecule: long non-coding RNA, 1746 nt
Filed under: Glycine max (soybean)
Lineage: Eukaryota; Viridiplantae; Streptophyta; Magnoliopsida; Fabales; Fabaceae
Description: long non-coding RNA (GMAX_LNC001321)
Source: RNAcentral